Non-coding RNA from Ficedula albicollis (Collared flycatcher), 46 nucleotides. NCBI's taxonomy places the organism in Eukaryota, Metazoa, Chordata, Aves, Passeriformes, Muscicapidae. The record is from Rfam.
AAAAAGGCUUCCUUGGAAGCCAAGAUCAGAUUAUUAACAUAGCCAU